AUUGAACGCUGGCGGCAUGCCUUACACAUGCAAGUCGAACGGCAGCGCGGGAGCAAUCCUGGCGGCGAGUGGCGAACGGGUGAGUAAUACAUCGGAACGUGCCCAAUCGUGGGGGAUAACGCAGCGAAAGCUGUGUUAAUACCGCAUACGAUCUACGGAUGAAAGCAGGGGAUCGCAAGACCUUGCGCGAAUGGAGCGGCCGAUGGCAGAUUAGGUAGUUGGUGAGGUAAAGGCUCACCAAGCCUUCGAUCUGUAGCUGGUCUGAGAGGACGACCAGCCACACUGGGACUGAGACACGGCCCAGACUCCUACGGGAGGCAGC
RNAcentral lists this ribosomal RNA (322 nucleotides) under uncultured Variovorax sp. Its description in RNAcentral is "bacterial SSU rRNA". It matches the Rfam family "Bacterial small subunit ribosomal RNA", at positions 30 to 352 of the family's 1533-position model. Lineage: Bacteria; Pseudomonadati; Pseudomonadota; Betaproteobacteria; Burkholderiales; Comamonadaceae. The record is from RNAcentral.